CAGCAGCCGCGGUAAUACGAAGGGUGCAAGCGUUAAUCGGAAUUACUGGGCGUAAAGCGUGCGUAGGCGGUUUGUUAAGUCUGUUGUGAAAUCCCCGGGCUCAACCUGGGAAUGGCAAUGGAUACUGGCAAGCUAGAGUGUGUCAGAGGAUGGUGGAAUUCCCGGUGUAGCGGUGAAAUGCGUAGAGAUCGGGAGGAACAUCAGUGGCGAAGGCGGCAAUCUGGGCCAACACUGACACUGAGGCACGAAAGCGUGGGGAGCAAACAGGAUUAGAUACCCCCGUAGUCCCUGUCUCUUAUAU
RNAcentral lists this ribosomal RNA (301 nucleotides) under uncultured bacterium. RNAcentral's name for it is "partial 16S ribosomal RNA". It matches the Rfam family "Bacterial small subunit ribosomal RNA", at positions 509 to 809 of the family's 1533-position model. The record is from RNAcentral.